RNAcentral lists this ribosomal RNA (203 nucleotides) under uncultured bacterium. Its description in RNAcentral is "partial 16S ribosomal RNA". It matches the Rfam family "Bacterial small subunit ribosomal RNA", at positions 1297 to 1500 of the family's 1533-position model. The record is from RNAcentral.
AUUGCAGGCUGCAACUCGCCUGCAUGAAGUUGGAAUUGCUAGUAAUCGCGAAUCAGAAUGUCGCGGUGAAUACGUUCCCGGGCCUUGUACACACCGCCCGUCACACCAUGAGAGUCGAUAACACCCGAAGCCUGUGAGCUAACCGCAAGGGGCAGCAGUCGAAGGUGGGGUUGAUGAUUGGGGUGAAGUCGUAACAAGGUAUC